This 357-nucleotide ribosomal RNA is filed under the name Triticum aestivum (bread wheat). RNAcentral's name for it is "partial small subunit ribosomal RNA". Lineage: Eukaryota; Viridiplantae; Streptophyta; Magnoliopsida; Poales; Poaceae. The record is from RNAcentral.
AUGCGCUAUGAUGAGCGAUACACACCGUAUGUAAGGGAGACAGGACUUCUCCCUUUCAUUCAUAUGGUCAAACGGUCGAUGCCACCCAACAAUGCUCCAGCACUCACCGCGCUUAUUGAUCAUUGGCGGCCGGAGACACAUAGUUUCCAUCUACGGACCGGGGAGAUGACAGUGACGCUCCAGGAUAUUUCUAUGAUCACCGGUCUUCCUAUCGAUGGGAAUCCUCUAUGUAUGAGCACCGAUUCCGAUGGGUGGCACGCGCAGAUGCAUGCCCUUAUCGGUAUGGUUCCUCCGGAGCCUCCGGAACCAGCAGCAGAAAACAAGAAGAAGGAAAGAGUCACAGACUAUGUUUGCUGA